AUUCCAGCUCCAAGAGCAUAUAUUAAAGUUGUUGCAGUUAAAAAGCUCGUAGUUGGAUUUCUGGUACAAUGCGCCUGGCCCGCCACAGUUUAUGUGUGUGAGUGCCGGUGCGCGUUUGCCAUCUUUCUAGAAAACGUUUCUACCCUUUACUGGGCCGGAUUCGCGAUCUAGAUCGUUUACUUUGAAAAAAUUAGAGUGUUUAAAGCAGGCUUAUGCUAUGAAUACAUUAGCAUGGAAUAAUAAUCUAGGACUUCGGUUCUAUUUUGUUGGUUUCUAGACCUGAAGUAAUGAUUGAUAGGGACAGUUGGGGGUGCUAGUAUUGGCCGGCCAGAGGUGAAAUUCUUGGAUUCGGUCAAGACUAACUUAUGCGAAAGCAUUCACCAAGGAUGUCUUCAUUA
Molecule: ribosomal RNA, 398 nt
Filed under: Protaspa sp.
Lineage: Eukaryota; Cercozoa; Thecofilosea; Cryomonadida; Protaspidae
Description: partial small subunit ribosomal RNA
Rfam family: Eukaryotic small subunit ribosomal RNA
Source: RNAcentral